Molecule: transfer RNA, 69 nt
Filed under: Callipepla douglasii (Elegant quail)
Lineage: Eukaryota; Metazoa; Chordata; Aves; Galliformes; Odontophoridae
Description: tRNA-Lys
Source: RNAcentral
CAUUAAGAAGCUAUGUACCCAGCACUAGCCUUUUAAGCUAGAGAAAGAGGAUAUUCCCCUCCUUAAUGA